This 448-nucleotide ribosomal RNA is filed under the name uncultured bacterium. RNAcentral describes it as "bacterial SSU rRNA". It matches the Rfam family "Bacterial small subunit ribosomal RNA", at positions 355 to 825 of the family's 1533-position model. The record is from RNAcentral.
UCGGGAAUUUUGGGCAAUGGGCGAAAGCCUGACCCAGCAACGCCGCGUGAAGGAUGAAGUAUUUCGGUAUGUAAACUUCGUAAGAAUAGGAAGAAUAAAUGACGGUACUAUUUGUAAGGUCCGGCUAACUACGUGCCAGCAGCCGCGGUAAUACGUAGGGACCAAGCGUUGUUCGGAUUUACUGGGCGUAAAGGGCGCGUAGGCGGCGUGGUAAGUCAUCUGUGAAAUCUCCGAGCUUAACUCGGAACGGUCAGAUGAUACUGCUGUGCUAGAGUACAGAAGGGGCAAUCGGAAUUCUUGGUGUAGCGGUGAAAUGCGUAGAUAUCAAGAGGAACACCUGAGGUGAAGACGGGUUGCUGGGCUGAUACUGACGCUGAGGCGCGAAAGCUAGGGUAGCAAACGGGGAUUAGAUACCCACGUAGUCCCUGAGCGGGCUGGCAAGGCGCAU